AAAUGACGAACGCUGGCGGCGUGCCUAAUACAUGCAAGUCGAACGAACUCUGGUAUUGAUUGGUGCUUGCAUCAUGAUUUACAUUUGAGUGAGUGGCGAACUGGUGAGUAACACGUGGGAAACCUGCCCAGAAGCGGGGGAUAACACCUGGAAACAGAUGCUAAUACCGCAUAACAACUUGGACCGCAUGGUCCGAGUUUGAAAGAUGGCUUCGGCUAUCACUUUUGGAUGGUCCCGCGGCGUAUUAGCUAGAUGGUGGGGUAACGGCUCACCAUGGCAAUGAUACGUAGCCGACCUGAGAGGGUAAUCGGCCACAUUGGGACUGAGACACGGCCCAAACUCCUACGGGAGGCAGCAGUAGGGAAUCUUCCACAAUGGACGAAAGUCUGAUGGAGCAACGCCGCGUGAGUGAAGAAGGGUUUCGGCUCGUAAAACUCUGUUGUUAAAGAAGAACAUAUCUGAGAGUAACUGUUCAGGUAUUGACGGUAUUUAACCAGAAAGCCACGGCUAACUACGUGCCAGCAGCCGCGGUAAUACGUAGGUGGCAAGCGUUGUCCGGAUUUAUUGGGCGUAAAGCGAGCGCAGGCGGUUUUUUAAGUCUGAUGUGAAAGCCUUCGGCUCAACCGAAGAAGUGCAUCGGAAACUGGGAAACUUGAGUGCAGAAGAGGACAGUGGAACUCCAUGUGUAGCGGUGAAAUGCGUAGAUAUAUGGAAGAACACCAGUGGCGAAGGCGGCUGUCUGGUCUGUAACUGACGCUGAGGCUCGAAAGUAUGGGUAGCAAACAGGAUUAGAUACCCUGGUAGUCCAUACCGUAAACGAUGAAUGCUAAGUGUUGGAGGGUUUCCGCCCUUCAGUGCUGCAGCUAACGCAUUAAGCAUUCCGCCUGGGGAGUACGGCCGCAAGGCUGAAACUCAAAGGAAUUGACGGGGGCCCGCACAAGCGGUGGAGCAUGUGGUUUAAUUCGAAGCUACGCGAAGAACCUUACCAGGUCUUGACAUACUAUGCAAAUCUAAGAGAUUAGACGUUCCCUUCGGGGACAUGGAUACAGGUGGUGCAUGGUUGUCGUCAGCUCGUGUCGUGGGAUGUUGGGUUAAGUCCCGCAACGAGCGCAACCCUUAUUAUCAGUUGCCAGCAUUAAGUUGGGCACUCUGGUGAGACUGCCGGUGACAAACCGGAGGAAGGUGGGGAUGACGUCAAAUCAUCAUGCCCCUUAUGACCUGGGCUACACACGUGCUACAAUGGAUGGUACAACGAGUUGCGAACUCGCGAGAGUAAGCUAAUCUCUUAAAGCCAUUCUCAGUUCGGAUUGUAGGCUGCAACUCGCCUACAUGAAGUCGGAAUCGCUAGUAAUCGCGGAUCAGCAUGCCGCGGUGAAUACGUUCCCGGGCCUUGUACACACCGCCCGUCACACCAUGAGAGUUUGUAACACCCAAAGUCGGUGGGGUAACCUUUUAGGAACCAGCCGCCUAAGGUGGGACAGAUGAUUAGGGUG
This 1493-nucleotide ribosomal RNA is filed under the name Lactiplantibacillus plantarum. Its description in RNAcentral is "bacterial SSU rRNA". It matches the Rfam family "Bacterial small subunit ribosomal RNA". The record is from RNAcentral. Lineage: Bacteria; Bacillati; Bacillota; Bacilli; Lactobacillales; Lactobacillaceae.